GCACUGUUGUUUUGGUGAUCCCAAUCCUCACACCUUCAGAGGACUCUGCAUCUCAAAAGUCUUCAAGCAAUCUCUGAAACCUUUGUCAUCCCCGAAUGCUUCAAUCCUCCUGUCCCCCUCUCCUGAAUAUACAUCCUGGGCUUCAACCUACUUACUAAGUCUUCAAUGGAUCAGUAGAAACUAAAUCUUGACCUCUACUGUAAAAGUGUGGCGUAAUGAGAGGCAUGGAAAGAAGAGUGUAUCCGACAGGCUGCCAACACCCAAAUGGAAGAGAGGAGGGAAACAUAAAGAAGGGCUAAGGAAAGACAUCUGACUUCCAGCAGCCGCCAGAAGCCACUGAAGUUUUGAAAAGUCAAGUUUUGUCAAACCCAAGUGAAUGCUGACAUGUAUGUGGUACAGAAAUAAAGGAGAAAGCUAAACAACA
Non-coding RNA from Rattus norvegicus (Norway rat), 424 nucleotides. The record is from RefSeq and is a predicted model, not a curated record. Lineage: Eukaryota; Metazoa; Chordata; Mammalia; Rodentia; Muridae.